This 317-nucleotide ribosomal RNA is filed under the name uncultured bacterium. Its description in RNAcentral is "bacterial SSU rRNA". It matches the Rfam family "Bacterial small subunit ribosomal RNA", at positions 28 to 333 of the family's 1533-position model. The record is from RNAcentral.
GAUGAACGCUAGCGGCAGGCUUAACACAUGCAAGUCGAGGGGCAGCAUAAUGAAGUAGCAAUACUGAAUUGAUGGCGACCGGCGCACGGGUGCGUAACGCGUAUGUAACCUACCUCUAACAGGGGGAUAACACUGAGAAAUUGGUACUAAUACCCCAUAACACUUGAUAGGGCAUCCUAUUGAGUUGAAAGUUCCGGCGGUUAGAGAUGGACAUGCGUUGUAUUAGCUAGAUGGUGAGGUAACGGCUCACCAUGGCGACGAUACAUAGGGGGACUGAGAGGUUAACCCCCCAGACCUGGUACCUGAGACACGGACCA